ACACUUACAUGGAAAUCAGCAAACUGCUUAGAAAAAAAAAAAUGUGAAAGGGUGGUUUUUGUUGGAGGACAGGGUUGCUUGCCAUUAAAAAUGGUCACUGUUCCAAGAAGCCUGUUUGGCUAAUGCCAGAGUCUUUAUCAGCAAAAUAAGAGAAGCACGCUGCGCCUCACACAUGUUUCUACACAUUUCUUUAAAAAGUCUGAGCAAUCUUUAAAACAGGAGUGAAGGGUAGAAGGCAACUGAUCAGUCAUGCUUGAAAUGAUUCUCCUGUAAUCUCCGUCACUUCUCUGACCACGCCUCCGGGUCCCUGCUGCGGCCAUGUGACAAAGGUAGGUUAUCUCCACCGGUGGCAAAGUGAACUACCAAUUGGAUUCAACCUAUUUGAGGAGACAAGGACAGACACGCACAGAGGGAAGACCAUGUGAAGAUACAAGGAGAAGGUUGCCAUGUACAAUCCAAUGAAAGAAGAGGCUUUGGAAGAAACUAACACAACAGACACUUUGGUCUCAGACUUCUAACCUCUAUAAUUGUGAAAAAAUAAAUUUUUGUUAUUUAAGCCA
Mustela lutreola (European mink) is the source of this 560-nucleotide long non-coding RNA. RefSeq lists it as uncharacterized. The record is from RefSeq and is a predicted model, not a curated record. The transcript has 3 exons. Lineage: Eukaryota; Metazoa; Chordata; Mammalia; Carnivora; Mustelidae.